RNAcentral lists this long non-coding RNA (961 nucleotides) under Triticum aestivum (bread wheat). Its description in RNAcentral is "long non-coding RNA (TAES_LNC003340)". Lineage: Eukaryota; Viridiplantae; Streptophyta; Magnoliopsida; Poales; Poaceae. The record is from RNAcentral.
GCUGGGCAACAUGACGGGCGCGAUCAAGGAGAAGCUGACGGUUGGCUCAGGCACGCAGAAGCACGACGCUGGAGGGCACGGCCUCCGGCUGGGCGACGAGGACGAGCGCGCGGUGAAGGAGCGCGCGGCGGAGAAGGCUGCGUCCGUCUACUUCGAGGAGAAGGACCGGCUGGCCAAGGAGCGCGCGGCGGAGCGGGUGGACAAAUGCGUCGAGAAGUGCGUGGAAGGGUGCGCCGGCUCGUCCUGCGCGCACCGCAAGGGCAAGAUGUGAGCGGCCGGGCUUCCCACGUGACCGACCGCGGGCGCGUCUUCGGUGCGACGUGCACACGUAUCGCGUUCUCAUGCCGUCACUCCGAGCAUGGCGGCGACAAUAAACUUUUAACUCCUAGUGGAGCUCCAGUAGAGCCUUCGUUUUCAAGUUCCUUUUACUUUUCUUUGGGGACAAGUUCCUUUUACUACUGCCUUUAUCCAAGUAGUGUGUGCGUCCCUUAGUUUGGUGAAUCGUAAAUGCUCUACUGCUUUGUUUCAGAAUCUCCGGUGUCUUCGUAGUACGAGUUUUUGCAUGACCUGUGUGUACUGUCUGCGUGAGUCUGUCUACCUCAGGACUAGUCUACGCGUGACCUGUGUGUACUGUCUGCCUGAGUCUGUCUACCUCAGGACUAGUCUACGCGUGUGUUGUGUGCACCGAGGCGUACACGAUCGAUAGUUUUCCUUUGGGAGGGGAUGACGUCAUGGCUACUUUAUUGAUCUGAUAAUAUCAGUACAUCCUUCACGAAAGGAGCUUACAAAGAAAAUCAGAGAAUUCCCCCUGCAAAAAAAAAAAAACCCAGAGAAUUCAUCGACCCAAUUAGGAAAGACAUCAUGAUCAUAAGCGUAUGUAGGGGUUGUUUGGAUAGGUGGAAUGUACAGAACGAAUUCUCUAAACCAGGAAAGCAGUCUAACAGGAUAAAACCACGUGGAU